Rhinopithecus bieti (black snub-nosed monkey) is the source of this 188-nucleotide small nuclear RNA. Its record names the gene U2. It matches the Rfam family "U2 spliceosomal RNA". Rfam says of the family: U2 is a small nuclear RNA (snRNA) component of the spliceosome (involved in pre-mRNA splicing). Complementary binding between U2 snRNA (in an area lying towards the 5' end but 3' to hairpin I) and the branchpoint sequence (BPS) of the intron results the bulging out of an unpaired adenosine, on the BPS, which initiates a nucleophilic attack at the intronic 5' splice site, thus starting the first of two transesterification reactions that mediate splicing. Lineage: Eukaryota; Metazoa; Chordata; Mammalia; Primates; Cercopithecidae. The record is from Ensembl.
CUAACUGCUCAGCCUUUUGGCUAAGAUCAAGUGUAGUAUCUGUUGUUACAUGCUUAAUAUCCGAUUCCUCCUCUAUCUGAGGACAUGUUAAGUGGAUUUUGGAAGCAGGGAGCUAGAACAGGAGCUUGCUCCAUCAACUCCACACAUCUACCUGGUACUGCAGUACCUCCAGGAAUGAUGCACCCCCU